GUAGAUGUCUAGUCUCCAUUAUGGCUCUAAUCUGAUAUUGGGGUGGUAGAUGGCUAGUCUCCUUCGUGGCUCUAAUCUGAUAGUGGGGUGGUAGAUGUCUAGUCUACUUUAUGGCUCUAAUCUGAUAGUGGUAGUGGGGUGGAAGAUGUCUAGUCUCCUUUAUGGCUCUAAUCUGAUAGUGGUAGUGGGGAGGAAGAUGUCUAGUCUUCUUUAUGGCUCUAAUCUGAUACUGUUAGUGGGGUGGUUGAUGUCUAGUCUCCUUUAUGGCUCUAAUCUGAUAGUGGUAUGGGGUGGUAGAUGUCUAGUCUCCUUUAUGGCUCUAAUCUGAUAGUGGUAGUGGGGUGGUAGAUGUCCUGUCUCCAUUAUGGCUCUAAUCUGAUAGUGUUAG
Long non-coding RNA from Oncorhynchus tshawytscha (Chinook salmon), 388 nucleotides. The record is from Ensembl. Lineage: Eukaryota; Metazoa; Chordata; Actinopteri; Salmoniformes; Salmonidae.